GGGCCUUUUAGGGUUAAAACAGUUUUUUAUUUGGGUUUUUAUUUGAUUAGUUAUAGACAAUUUUAUAUUCAGGGGCAUAGUUGUAAUUUCAGCAAUUCUAGUAAGGUUAUUUUGGUAAUUUCAUUGAGUCUAGAGUCUUCUAGGAGAUGUAAGAGCCUGUUUGGUUCUCCUGAAACCUUGUUUUCAGUUUUCAUUUCCUGUGGGCCCCACCACCUAACACACAUUCGGUUUCAUUUUUUGUUCUGUGUUUUCAAGAAGAAGAUCCAAAAAUACAUGUUUGAGAACAGAAAAUGAAAACAAAUUAUUGGUGUUAAAAACCUCUCCCUCCC
Molecule: long non-coding RNA, 329 nt
Organism: Quercus robur (English oak)
Lineage: Eukaryota; Viridiplantae; Streptophyta; Magnoliopsida; Fagales; Fagaceae
Exons: 2
Source: RefSeq, a predicted model, not a curated record